AGAGCCUCUAGGCUUUGUGCAAAGAGUGCCCGUGUCUACUCGAGUAUCAGGAGCCUCUAGGCUUGGUGCGAAGAGUGCCCGGGUCUACUCGAGUAUCAGGAGCCUCUAGGCUUGGUGCGAAGAGUGCCCGGGUCUACUCGAGUAACAGGAGCCUCUAGACUUGAUGCAAAGAGUGCCCGAGUCUAUUCGAGUACCAGGAGCCUCUAGGCUUGGUGCAAAGAGUGCCCGAGUCUACUCGAGUACCAGGAGCCUCUAGGCUUGGUGCGAAGAGUGCCCGAUUCUACUCGAGUAUCACGUACCUUUAAGUUUGGUGCAAAGAGUGCCCGAUUCUGUUCGAGUACCGUCAUGGAAACUUUUAUAUAGGAGCGAAAAUCGUAUGUCACUUCAUAGUAGAGGCGGCUGAUGGUUGCGACAAUGCCUUGCGGAGCUGUACUGCUGCGAGGUGUCUUUCGGAAUCAAGCAAAGGCGCCGGUGGAGCGUACAGAUCAUGUUUCGUUCGGAACUGAAUAGUGCGGUGCAGUGCUCUGAGCAAGAGCGCUUCACCUGGUGAUACUGCGUGCCCCCGUUUGGUGUCGGUAACCGUAGACCGGGAGGUGCUGACUCGCCGGCACUCGAGCCAGACCUACGCGCCUGUCGUGAAUGUGCAUCCUCAGCCAGAUAGACGCCAGCGCAUCACGCAGCGUGUCCGAAGGAGCCGUGCUGCCCUGGAGCUCUCAGUGCAGUACGCGCUUGGCCAUAUAAGCGUAUUGUUUUGCCGCGGGGCUCUCUGCGGAAAGACUCUCAGCAAAGUUGCGAACAACGUGCACAAAGCCAUCGCUGGAGCACAUGAUCGAGCCGAACACCCUUCGGUAGCCUCAUAUGGCGCUCACUGGCACUUGUCGAAAGUGCCUAGUCAAUGACCAUAUGAAGACCUUGCGGGUAUGAAUCGAAAGCAUGUUCGUUUGCUCUGUGUUGCAGGAGCUCUUCAGGGCAACUCAGCUGCGAUGCGUUCAAGGGCUGGUAACUGGUGCCUCGAUGGGCGACCAGCAAGCUUCACCGCUUCUAGAGAGAGAACGCCCCCGACAGAUCUUUCAUGUGUUCAUCGAAAAUUCCGGAUCUUUUGGCUUCACUCGUUGCGAUAUCGAUGGAUGAAUGCCUGACACCUGCUUAUGGUGAAGAGUAUCUUGCACAGCACACGACAAACAACGCGGCAACAACCUCUUCACACACCCUUCUCCGUUAAACUGAAACACGUCGCACCGAGUGGACGCAUCCGUGAACGUCGAGCGCCGAGACACGAGGUCUGCCGCACGGCGUCCCGAAUCGCGACUUGCCUUUAGGAGCAUGCCGAACAGCGCAUCAUCAAAUAGCUGCUAAGAGGUCUAAGUUUCAAAACAAGAGCACUGACCAGCUGUCCUGGGUCGUUGCCGAUGCCAUACAGCGUGCUAUCGCUAUCACCUGUGACCAGUGACUGUUAUUGCAUUAGUGAGCGCGUCGACGCGUUGGCCGCACUUCUGCCCAGCAUACAUGCCCUAUUGGGCCGUUUAUAAUCAUAGCGAUGCACAGCUCCUAUGCGAGUAAUCCUCGCAAGUGCUCAUCUAAACUUGAUGGAUAAACACCAGGGGUCUGGAGCCGACUCGAAUCCGCGCGCACCA
RNAcentral lists this unclassified non-coding RNA (1634 nucleotides) under Cyanidioschyzon merolae strain 10D. RNAcentral describes it as "hypothetical transcript". The record is from RNAcentral. Lineage: Eukaryota; Rhodophyta; Bangiophyceae; Cyanidiales; Cyanidiaceae.